AUGGUUUCUGAUUACCGUCCCAUCAAUGCUAUCACCAUUAGAUAUCGCUACCCUAUUCCACGCUUAGAUGAUAUGCUUGAUGAGCUUAGCGGAGCCGUCAUUUUCCCUAAGAUUGAUCAUAAGAGCGGCUACAAUCAAAUACUCAUCCAAGAAGGUGAUGUAUGGAAAACCACAUUUAAGACCAAAUUUGGCUUAAAUGAAUGGCUAAUUAUACCAAUGGAUUUAUCCGAAGCACCCGGUACUUUCAUGCGAGUCAUGCACUUUGUUCUUCGUCUCUAUAUUGGUGUAUUUGUUGUGGUCUAUUUUGAUGAUAAUCUUGUCUUUAGCAAAUCCCUCAAAGAUCAUGUCACCCAUCUUAGAACCGUGUUGCAAACCCUUAGGAAAGAGAGCCUUUAUGCUAAUAUGGACAAAAUGCCUUUUUGGUGUUGA
RNAcentral lists this ribosomal RNA (429 nucleotides) under Triticum aestivum (bread wheat). Its description in RNAcentral is "partial small subunit ribosomal RNA". The record is from RNAcentral. Lineage: Eukaryota; Viridiplantae; Streptophyta; Magnoliopsida; Poales; Poaceae.